GAUGAACGCUAGCUACAGGCUUAACACAUGCAAGUCGAGGGGAGACGCCAUUGCAGCUUGCUUCGAUGGUGGUCGACCGGCGCACGGGUGAGUAACGCGUAUCAACCCUGCCUCUGACCAAGGGAUAACCCGUCGAAAGUCGGCCUAAUACCUUAUGCAGUCGUCGGUCGUCAUCUGAUGACGACGAAAGAUUUCAUCGGUGGGAGAUGGGGAUGCGUCUGAUUCGCUUGUUGGCGGGGUAACGGCCCACCAAGGCCACGAUCAGUAGGGGUUCUGAGAGGAAGGUGCCACACAGUGGAACUGAGACGCGGUCCAAACUCCUACGGGAGGCAACAGUGAGGUAUAGUAGUCAAUGGGCGAGAGCCUGACCCAGCCAAGUAGCGUGCAAUAGGACGGCUCUAUGGGUUGUAAACUGCUGUUAUGCAGGGAUAAAGUGAGGGUCGUGGCCUUCAUUGCAGGUACCGCAAUAAUAAGCGCCGGCUAAUUCCGUG
Molecule: ribosomal RNA, 491 nt
Filed under: uncultured bacterium
Lineage: Bacteria
Description: partial 16S ribosomal RNA
Rfam family: Bacterial small subunit ribosomal RNA
Source: RNAcentral